RNAcentral lists this ribosomal RNA (333 nucleotides) under Haffneria grandis. Its description in RNAcentral is "partial 12S ribosomal RNA". Lineage: Eukaryota; Metazoa; Arthropoda; Insecta; Psocodea; Philopteridae. The record is from RNAcentral.
AUGAGUAACAAAGUUAAUUUGAGUAGAGUAAAGUUUACAAAUCUUGAAAAACAAAAUUGUUUGGCGGUAAAAGACAUAAACAGAGGUACAUGCUCUUAAUCGAAACUGCACGAUAAAUCUUUCCAAACCUUGAAAAGUUUCUUCAUUUUAUACACAGCCGUCAGAAGAAAAAGCAUAACAGCUUCUUCACUAUUUCUUUAUUAAAGAAGUAAGUCAGGUAAAUGUAUAAACAAUGAUUUGGAAAUAGGUGUGUUCCAUUGAUAUAUAUAUAAUACUCGUGAAAGGAUUAUUGAAAAAUUCCCUAGUAAAAGAAUUUGUUAGUAAAUAUUGUUU